Molecule: long non-coding RNA, 956 nt
Organism: Oncorhynchus tshawytscha (Chinook salmon)
Lineage: Eukaryota; Metazoa; Chordata; Actinopteri; Salmoniformes; Salmonidae
Source: Ensembl
GUGGAGCUCUGUGUUGUUUGUGGAGCUCUGUGUUGUUUGUGGAGCUCUGUGGUGUUUGUGGAGCUCUGUGUUGUUUGUGGAGCUCUGUGUUGUUUGUGGAGCUCUGUGUUGUUUGUGGAGCUCUGAUGUCUGUGGAGCUCUGUGGUGUUUGUGGAGCUCUGAUGUUUGUGGAGCUCUGCUUAUUUCAGCACUAGCAGGUUAUUUCCAUACCUGUGAAGGCAGAGUGGGAUCAGAUCAGCCUGUCAAAUCUCUGUCUUACAGACACACAGAAGCACAAGCUGACUUAAGUCUAAAGAGCUGCAAGACUAGACUAAAUGCUUAAUUACUGUAGUCGGAUUAGGGUUCAGUGGAUAUAUUCAGACUGACCCUGUCUCUGUGGUGAAGUAUUCAGCCCAUUUAUCUCUCUUGCAGGUCACAUAUUAACCCCCUCUCUCUGGCAGGUCACAUAUUAACCCCCUCUCUCUGGUACGUAACAUAUUAACCCCCUCUGUCUGGCAGGUAACAUAUUAACCCCCUCUCUCUGGCAGGUAACAUUUUAACCCCCUCUCUCUGGCAGGUAACAUAUUAAACCCCUCUCUCUUGCAGGUAACAUUUUAACCCCCUCUCUCUGGCAGGUAACAUAUUAAACCCCUCUCUCUUGCAGGUAACAUUUUAACCCCCUCUCUCUGGCAGGUAACAUAUUAAACCCCUCUCUCUGGUAGGUAACAUAUUAACCCCCUCUGUCUGGCAGGUAACAUAUUAACCCCCUCUCUCUGGCAGGUAACAUUUUAGGCCCAGGUCUGACAGAAUCUGUGCAGAAGAUCUUGGUGCUGCUUUAGGCCCUCCUUGGUUGGGGACAGAAGCACCAGAUCAUCAGUAGACAUUUGACUUCAGAUUCUAGUAGGGUGAGGCUGGGUGCUGCCGACUGUUCUAGUGCCCUCGCCAAUACCUUGAUAUGUAUGUUGAAGAGGGUGGGG